Molecule: ribosomal RNA, 1257 nt
Filed under: Bacteroides fragilis
Lineage: Bacteria; Pseudomonadati; Bacteroidota; Bacteroidia; Bacteroidales; Bacteroidaceae
Description: bacterial SSU rRNA
Rfam family: Bacterial small subunit ribosomal RNA
Source: RNAcentral
CACCAAGCCUUCGAUGGAUAGGGGUUCUGAGAGGAAGGUCCCCCACAUUGGAACUGAGACACGGUCCAAACUCCUACGGGAGGCAGCAGUGAGGAAUAUUGGUCAAUGGGCGCUAGCCUGAACCAGCCAAGUAGCGUGAAGGAUGAAGGCUCUAUGGGUCGUAAACUUCUUUUAUAUAAGAAUAAAGUGCAGUAUGUAUACUGUUUUGUAUGUAUUAUAUGAAUAAGGAUCGGCUAACUCCGUGCCAGCAGCCGCGGUAAUACGGAGGAUCCGAGCGUUAUCCGGAUUUAUUGGGUUUAAAGGGAGCGUAGGUGGACUGGUAAGUCAGUUGUGAAAGUUUGCGGCUCAACCGUAAAAUUGCAGUUGAUACUGUCAGUCUUGAGUACAGUAGAGGUGGGCGGAAUUCGUGGUGUAGCGGUGAAAUGCUUAGAUAUCACGAAGAACUCCGAUUGCGAAGGCAGCUCACUGGACUGCAACUGACACUGAUGCUCGAAAGUGUGGGUAUCAAACAGGAUUAGAUACCCUGGUAGUCCACACAGUAAACGAUGAAUACUCGCUGUUUGCGAUAUACAGUAAGCGGCCAAGCGAAAGCAUUAAGUAUUCCACCUGGGGAGUACGCCGGCAACGGUGAAACUCAAAGGAAUUGACGGGGGCCCGCACAAGCGGAGGAACAUGUGGUUUAAUUCGAUGAUACGCGAGGAACCUUACCCGGGCUUAAAUUGCAGUGGAAUGAUGUGGAAACAUGUCAGUGAGCAAUCACCGCUGUGAAGGUGCUGCAUGGUUGUCGUCAGCUCGUGCCGUGAGGUGUCGGCUUAAGUGCCAUAACGAGCGCAACCCUUAUCUUCAGUUACUAACAGGUCAUGCUGAGGACUCUGGAGAGACUGCCGUCGUAAGAUGUGAGGAAGGUGGGGAUGACGUCAAAUCAGCACGGCCCUUACGUCCGGGGCUACACACGUGUUACAAUGGGGGGUACAGAAGGCAGCUAGCGGGUGACCGUAUGCUAAUCCCAAAAGCCUCUCUCAGUUCGGAUCGAAGUCUGCAACCCGACUUCGUGAAGCUGGAUUCGCUAGUAAUCGCGCAUCAGCCACGGCGCGGUGAAUACGUUCCCGGGCCUUGUACACACCGCCCGUCAAGCCAUGGGAGCCGGGGGUACCUGAAGUACGUAACCGCAAGGAUCGUCCUAGGGUAAAACUGGUGACUGGGGCUAAGUCGUAACAAGGUAGCCGUACCGGAAGGUGCGGCUGGAACACCUCCUUU